CAAAAACAUCACCUCUAGCAUUUCCAGUAUUAGAGGCACUGCCUGCCCAGUGACAUUAGUUAAACGGCCGCGGUAUCCUGACCGUGCAAAGGUAGCAUAAUCAUUUGUUCCUUAAAUAGGGACUUGUAUGAAUGGCCACACGAGGGCUUUACUGUCUCUUACUUCCAAUCCGUGAAAUUGACCUUCCCGUGAAGAGGCGGGAAUACGACAAUAAGACGAGAAGACCCUGUGGAGCUUUAAUUAAUCGACCCAAAGAGACCUUAAUAACCAACCGACAGGAACAACAGACCUCUGCCAUGGGCCGACAAUUUAGGUUGGGGUGACCUCGGAGAAUAAAACAACCUCCGAGUGAUUUAAAUCUAGACUAACCAGUCGAAAGUAUUACAUCACUUAUUGAUCCAAAGCUUGAUCAACGGAACAAGUUACCCCAGGGAUAACAGCGCAAUCCUAUUUCAGAGUCCAUAUCGACAAUAGGGUUUACGACCUCGAUGUUGGAUCAGGACAUCCCGAUGGUGCAGCAGCUAUCAAAGGUUCGUUUGUUCAACGAUUAAAGUCCUACGUGAUCUGAGU
This 570-nucleotide ribosomal RNA is filed under the name Panthera tigris (tiger). Its description in RNAcentral is "partial large subunit ribosomal RNA". It matches the Rfam family "Bacterial large subunit ribosomal RNA", at positions 1808 to 2610 of the family's 2925-position model. The record is from RNAcentral. Lineage: Eukaryota; Metazoa; Chordata; Mammalia; Carnivora; Felidae.